This 405-nucleotide ribosomal RNA is filed under the name uncultured bacterium. RNAcentral's name for it is "partial 16S ribosomal RNA". It matches the Rfam family "Bacterial small subunit ribosomal RNA", at positions 28 to 526 of the family's 1533-position model. The record is from RNAcentral.
GAUGAACGCUGGCGGCGUGCCUAAUACAUGCAAGUCGAGCGAAGCGGGGACGGGUGAGUAACACGUGGAUAACCUCCUAUGAGACUGGGAUACCUUCGGGAAACCGGAGCUAUCCCGGUUACUUCUAGAUGGAUCUGAGCUGCAUUAGCUAGUUGGGAAGGUAACGGCUUACCAAGGCAACGAUGCCUAGCCGACCUGAGAGGGUGAUCGGCCACACUGGAACUGAGACACGGUCCAGACUCCUACGGGAGGCAGCAGUAGGGAAUCUUCCGCAAUGGGCGAAAGCCUGACGGAGCAACGCCGCGUGAGUGAUGAAGGUCUUCGGAUCGUAAAACUCUGUUAUCAGGGAAGCGGUACCUAAACAGAAAGCCACGGCUAACUACGUGCCAGCAGCCGCGGUAAUAC